GGAUUAGAUACCCUGGUAGUCCACGCCGUAAACGAUGUCUACUAGCCGUAGGGCUCCUUGAGGGCUUUGUGGCGUAGCUAACGCGCUAAGUAGACCGCCUGGGGAGUACGGCCGCAAGGUUAAAACUCAAAUGAAUUGACGGGGGCCCGCACAAGCGGUGGAGCAUGUGGUUUAAUUCGAUGCAACGCGAAGAACCUUACCAGGUCUUGACAUCCUGAUAACUUUCUAGAGAUAGAUUGGUGCCUUCGGGAAAUCAGUGACAGGUGCUGCAUGGCUGUCGUCAGCUCGUGCCG
RNAcentral lists this ribosomal RNA (293 nucleotides) under uncultured bacterium. Its description in RNAcentral is "partial 16S ribosomal RNA". It matches the Rfam family "Bacterial small subunit ribosomal RNA", at positions 775 to 1067 of the family's 1533-position model. The record is from RNAcentral.